AUGCAUGCCAAGGCUCACACUGGCAAAUGUGAGGUACACCGUGCAAUUUAAGUGUACGAUUAAGUUUUUAGAAGCAUAUUCUUACAGCAUCAGAAAUAUUUAGCUUGUAGUCCACAUUAGUGAAAUACUCUAAUGCAGUGCUUUUCAAACCUUUUGUGGAGGACCCCCAGCACUGCAUUUUGUACUUCCCUCCCCAUCCCUUACAUCAAAAUUUGCUAAUGGCACCAAAUUCAGUUGAGGAUACACAGACUAAUCAAUAUUUUUUUAUGACAAAUGACUUGAUCUUAUGUUUUGGAUCAGAUUAGGUGGAGUGGUAGAAGCCAGGAUGGUGCAGGAAAUACUAUUGGUGAAGAGGUGGAACAGGUUAAUAGCUUCCUUUCAAGGGCUGCUCUUACUACGAAGUACAUGACUAAACUAAAUUGUUAACCCUUGCGUGUGACACCAUAAACUAGAUCUGUUUUGUGUUUUAAAGGCAAAGCAGAUAUGAUAACUGUGCUUGCCAUGGCAUGGAAUCAUAGGAAGGAAGAAAGUCUCCACAAGACACUGGUGAAAAGAUUUAUCAAAAGUACACAGAGAGCAGAAAUGGAAGUAGCCAAUCUUGAGAGUCUCAAGCAGGAGUUAAACAUCUCUAUGGAGGAUGCAGAUCAAUGGGUGUUUGAUGUCAAGCAAUGGGCAGCCACUGGUAUGUUGUAUAGCCACUGAUGCAUAAAUUGGUACUUUAUUUCCAUACAUGUGGGUAAAUUUUUGUAGUGAUACUGUGUUUUCUGUAAUGUGCAUAUUUCUGUUCAAGAGAGACACAGUACUCACAGGAGCCAGGAAGAGCUCCAGAGAGAAAUUGAUGAGAUUAUUUAUUCCAUCCUAAGAAAGAAGCAUGAUCUAUAUCGACAAAAUGGUAUUUGCUACUACGUCACUCAGCUUGCAAUUUUAAGUGUUUUUUUUUUUUUACCUUACAAACAGCAACCAAACAAGGCAACGCAAACGUAGGAGACUAAGUGAGCUCAAAAAGACACUCUGAGAAAAGAUAGUGCAGUACAACACCCUUCCUGGCUGUGAAGAGAAAAUUGACACAGAAGCAGCAUUCUGUCUCUCCGACGAUUUUAUUCUGCCUUGGGAAGCACAAGGAGAUGGUAAGUAAUGUGUUAUAUUUUUGUGCUUUUUAAACUCAGUUCCUGGAGGGCCGCAGCCCUGCAUAGUUUAGUUCCAAGGUGGGUAACUGAUAAAUGAAUCAAAGAAGACAUUUGGAGGACUCUAAAGGGCUAGUUCACCAACAAAUGAAAAUUCUGUCAGCAUUAAGCUUUUCCUAACCUUAACGAGUUUCUUUCUUUUGCUGAACAUAGAAGAAUAUAUUUUCAAGAAUGUUGGCAACCAGACUUGUGACAUUAUUCAUUGACUUCCUAGUAUUGUACUAAUAUAGAAAGUUGAUGGUUAACAGUUGAUAGUGAACUGUUUGGUAACCAGCAUUCUUCAAAAACUAUAUUCUGUGUUCAGGAGAUAAAACACAUACCUAAGGGUGAGUAAAUGAUGUAAAUGAUGACAUAAUUUACAAUUUCGGCUGAACUAACCCUUUAAUGCUAAUACAAUUUCAUUACAUUAGGUAUUUUGAAUAACUGCAUUAAUGCUUGUUUCAGGUGGAGAAUCAUAAUUCAAGGGGGGGUUGAUGGAUUCAGCCAAAUGAUCACAAUGCUACAGGCAUCCACUAAUAAUCGAAGUACAACAGUAAUGAAAUUGUUCAUGGAGGCUGUCCAAAGGUAUGGUGUUCAGUCUCGUGUCAGAUAUGACUAUAGUGGUGACUUGAAAGAGGCAGUGCUUUAAGAGGACGAAGCACUCAAAAUCAACGUGUGGAGAGGCUUUGGGGUGACCUGUGGAGAGGAAUUACAAACACGUACUAUGAGUUGUUUUCCUUUCUUGAGGAACA
Molecule: long non-coding RNA, 1915 nt
Filed under: Carassius auratus (goldfish)
Lineage: Eukaryota; Metazoa; Chordata; Actinopteri; Cypriniformes; Cyprinidae
Description: lncRNA (ENSCARG00000050030.1)
Source: RNAcentral